GUACCCCAUUACCCCAAAGCAGCCAGCCUCAUGGAACAGCACGGCCUGUUUGAGACUGGGUUACAGGGCCAGUUUGGAGUCAUCAUCUUUGGGGUCGGGGUGCUGUUACAGGAUGGGUAACCACUCUGAACCAGGGAGACGGGGUUUCAUCAUGUUGGCCACGCUGGUCUUGAAUUCCCGACCUCAGGUGAUCUGCCUGCCUUGGCCUCCCAAAGUGCUAGGAUUACAGAGGUGAGCCACCGUGACCGGCCUUCACUCUUCAAAUGUUUGCUUCCUGUUCCUGCUACCCUGAACCCUGCUGUUGAGGGGUUCUAGUGUCUACAAGGGAACCGCUGCCACCACGAGGAAUAACACACCCUCCCUCCUUGGACAAGGACAAGGCCUGAUCUGGGUGCACUGAGACCUCCCUCCCCUAUGCAGGGCCCAGAGUGACAAAGAGGGUCUGUGUCCCCUUCCCUUUGCAGAAGCACAUCAAGCCCGCACACAGGCUCUACCUUCCUCUACCCAACCCCCUCUCCACUCCUGCAGACCCCCGCCUUCCUGCAGGUCCCCCUCCGGCCCC
RNAcentral lists this long non-coding RNA (562 nucleotides) under Homo sapiens (human). Its description in RNAcentral is "non-protein coding lnc-MYADM-1:2". The record is from RNAcentral. Lineage: Eukaryota; Metazoa; Chordata; Mammalia; Primates; Hominidae.